UCGCGCUUGGUUGAAAAGCCAGUGGCGCGA
This 30-nucleotide small nuclear RNA is filed under the name Arabidopsis thaliana (thale cress). RNAcentral's name for it is "snRNA_10235". The record is from RNAcentral. Lineage: Eukaryota; Viridiplantae; Streptophyta; Magnoliopsida; Brassicales; Brassicaceae.